Molecule: small nuclear RNA, 172 nt
Organism: Pogona vitticeps (central bearded dragon)
Lineage: Eukaryota; Metazoa; Chordata; Lepidosauria; Squamata; Agamidae
Gene: U1
Rfam family: U1 spliceosomal RNA
About the family: U1 is a small nuclear RNA (snRNA) component of the spliceosome (involved in pre-mRNA splicing). Its 5' end forms complementary base pairs with the 5' splice junction, thus defining the 5' donor site of an intron.
Source: Ensembl
ACUCAGACCUGGCAGGGGAGAUACCAUUGUUGUAAAAGUGGUUUUCCCAGGGUAAGGCUUAUAUAUUGCACUUUGGAUGAGCUGACCCCCUUGAUUUCCCCAAAUGUGGAAAAAUCUACUGUUUAAGUGGGGGACUGCGUUUCUGGUUUUUCUAGAAUCACUCUUUCCCCUU